Molecule: ribosomal RNA, 2201 nt
Filed under: Escherichia coli
Lineage: Bacteria; Pseudomonadati; Pseudomonadota; Gammaproteobacteria; Enterobacterales; Enterobacteriaceae
Description: partial 23S ribosomal RNA
Rfam family: Bacterial large subunit ribosomal RNA
Source: RNAcentral
AUAAUGGGUCAGCGACUUAUAUUCUGUAGCAAGGUUAACCGAAUAGGGGAGCCGAAGGGAAACCGAGUCUUAACUGGGCGUUAAGUUGCAGGGUAUAGACCCGAAACCCGGUGAUCUAGCCAUGGGCAGGUUGAAGGUUGGGUAACACUAACUGGAGGACCGAACCGACUAAUGUUGAAAAAUUAGCGGAUGACUUGUGGCUGGGGGUGAAAGGCCAAUCAAACCGGGAGAUAGCUGGUUCUCCCCGAAAGCUAUUUAGGUAGCGCCUCGUGAAUUCAUCUCCGGGGGUAGAGCACUGUUUCGGCAAGGGGGUCAUCCCGACUUACCAACCCGAUGCAAACUGCGAAUACCGGAGAAUGUUAUCACGGGAGACACACGGCGGGUGCUAACGUCCGUCGUGAAGAGGGAAACAACCCAGACCGCCAGCUAAGGUCCCAAAGUCAUGGUUAAGUGGGAAACGAUGUGGGAAGGCCCAGACAGCCAGGAUGUUGGCUUAGAAGCAGCCAUCAUUUAAAGAAAGCGUAAUAGCUCACUGGUCGAGUCGGCCUGCGCGGAAGAUGUAACGGGGCUAAACCAUGCACCGAAGCUGCGGCAGCGACGCUGAUGCGUUGUUGGGUAGGGGAGCGUUCUGUAAGCCUGCGAAGGUGUGCUGUGAGGCAUGCUGGAGGUAUCAGAAGUGCGAAUGCUGACAUAAGUAACGAUAAAGCGGGUGAAAAGCCCGCUCGCCGGAAGACCAAGGGUUCCUGUCCAACGUUAAUCGGGGCAGGGUGAGUCGACCCCUAAGGCGAGGCCGAAAGGCGUAGUCGAUGGGAAACAGGUUAAUAUUCCUGUACUUGGUGUUACUGCGAAGGGGGGACGGAGAAGGCUAUGUUGGCCGGGCGACGGUUGUCCCGGUUUAAGCGUGUAGGCUGGUUUUCCAGGCAAAUCCGGAAAAUCAAGGCUGAGGCGUGAUGACGAGGCACUACGGUGCUGAAGCAACAAAUGCCCUGCUUCCAGGAAAAGCCUCUAAGCAUCAGGUAACAUCAAAUCGUACCCCAAACCGACACAGGUGGUCAGGUAGAGAAUACCAAGGCGCUUGAGAGAACUCGGGUGAAGGAACUAGGCAAAAUGGUGCCGUAACUUCGGGAGAAGGCACGCUGAUAUGUAGGUGAAGUCCCUCGCGGAUGGAGCUGAAAUCAGUCGAAGAUACCAGCUGGCUGCAACUGUUUAUUAAAAACACAGCACUGUGCAAACACGAAAGUGGACGUAUACGGUGUGACGCCUGCCCGGUGCCGGAAGGUUAAUUGAUGGGGUCAGCGCAAGCGAAGCUCUUGAUCGAAGCCCCGGUAAACGGCGGCCGUAACUAUAACGGUCCUAAGGUAGCGAAAUUCCUUGUCGGGUAAGUUCCGACCUGCACGAAUGGCGUAAUGAUGGCCAGGCUGUCUCCACCCGAGACUCAGUGAAAUUGAACUCGCUGUGAAGAUGCAGUGUACCCGCGGCAAGACGGAAAGACCCCGUGAACCUUUACUAUAGCUUGACACUGAACAUUGAGCCUUGAUGUGUAGGAUAGGUGGGAGGCUUUGAAGUGUGGACGCCAGUCUGCAUGGAGCCGACCUUGAAAUACCACCCUUUAAUGUUUGAUGUUCUAACGUUGACCCGUAAUCCGGGUUGCGGACAGUGUCUGGUGGGUAGUUUGACUGGGGCGGUCUCCUCCUAAAGAGUAACGGAGGAGCACGAAGGUUGGCUAAUCCUGGUCGGACAUCAGGAGGUUAGUGCAAUGGCAUAAGCCAGCUUGACUGCGAGCGUGACGGCGCGAGCAGGUGCGAAAGCAGGUCAUAGUGAUCCGGUGGUUCUGAAUGGAAGGGCCAUCGCUCAACGGAUAAAAGGUACUCCGGGGAUAACAGGCUGAUACCGCCCAAGAGUUCAUAUCGACGGCGGUGUUUGGCACCUCGAUGUCGGCUCAUCACAUCCUGGGGCUGAAGUAGGUCCCAAGGGUAUGGCUGUUCGCCAUUUAAAGUGGUACGCGAGCUGGGUUUAGAACGUCGUGAGACAGUUCGGUCCCUAUCUGCCGUGGGCGCUGGAGAACUGAGGGGGGCUGCUCCUAGUACGAGAGGACCGGAGUGGACGCAUCACUGGUGUUCGGGUUGUCAUGCCAAUGGCACUGCCCGGUAGCUAAAUGCGGAAGAGAUAAGUGCUGAAAGCAUCUAAGCACGAAACUUGCC